ACUCCUACGGGAGGCAGCAGUAGGGAAUCUUCCACAAUGGGCGCAAGCCUGAUGGAGCAACACCGCGUGAGUGAAGAAGGGUUUCGGCUCGUAAAGCUCUGUUGUUAAAGAAGAACACGUAUGAGAGUAACUGUUCAUACGUUGACGGUAUUUAACCAGAAAGUCACGGCUAACUACGUGCCAGCAGCCGCGGUAAUACGUAGGUGGCAAGCGUUAUCCGGAUUUAUUGGGCGUAAAGAGAGUGCAGGCGGUUUUCUAAGUCUGAUGUGAAAGCCUUCGGCUUAACCGGAGAAGUGCAUCGGAAACUGGAUAACUUGAGUGCAGAAGAGGUAGUGGAACUCCAUGUGUAGCGGUGGAAUGCGUAGAUAUAUGGAAGAACACCAGUGGCGAAGGCGGCUACCUGGUCUGCAACGUGACGCUGAGACUCGAAAGCAGUGGUAGCGAACAGGAUUAGAUACCCCGUGGUAGGAUAGCG
RNAcentral lists this ribosomal RNA (475 nucleotides) under uncultured bacterium. RNAcentral's name for it is "bacterial SSU rRNA". It matches the Rfam family "Bacterial small subunit ribosomal RNA", at positions 335 to 801 of the family's 1533-position model. The record is from RNAcentral.